This 209-nucleotide ribosomal RNA is filed under the name Beltraniella carolinensis. RNAcentral describes it as "partial large subunit ribosomal RNA". The record is from RNAcentral. Lineage: Eukaryota; Fungi; Ascomycota; Sordariomycetes; Amphisphaeriales; Beltraniaceae.
AAGCGUUUAUGACCAGACUUUUUCCAGGCGGAUCAUCCGGUGUUCUCACCGGUGCACUUCGUCUGGUUGAGGCCAGCAUCGGUUUUCGUAGAGGGAUAAAAGCAGUAGGAAUGUGGUUCCUCCGGGAAUGUUAUAGCCUAUUGUAUAAUACCUUUACGGGGACCGAGGUUCGCGCUCUGCAAGGAUGCUGGCGUAAUGGUCAUCAACGA